Molecule: small nuclear RNA, 107 nt
Filed under: Catagonus wagneri (Chacoan peccary)
Lineage: Eukaryota; Metazoa; Chordata; Mammalia; Artiodactyla; Tayassuidae
Source: RNAcentral
GUGUUGGUUUUGGCAACACCUAUACCAAAACUGGAAUGAUACAGAGAAGGUUAGCAUGGCCCCUGAACAAGGAUGGUACUUAAAUUCAUGAAGCAUUCUGAGCAACU